GACGAACGCUGGCGGCGUGCUUAACACAUGCAAGUCGAACGGAAAGGCCCUGCUUUUGUGGGGUGCUCGAUUGGCGAACGGGUGAGUAACACGUGAGUAACCUGCCCUUGACUUUGGGAUAACUUCAGGAAACUGGGGCUAAUACCGGAUAGGAGCUCCUGCUGCAUGGUGGGGGUUGGAAAGUUUCGGCCGUUGGGGAUGGACUCGCGGCUUAUCAGCUUGUUGGUGGGGUAGUGGCUUACCAAGGCUUUGACGGGUAGCCGGCCUGAGAGGGUGACCGGCCACAUGGGGACUGCGAUACGGCCCAGACUCCUACGGGAGGCAGCAGUGGGGAAUAUUGCACAAUGGGCGGAAGCCUGAUGCAGCAACGCCGCGUGCGGGAUGACGGCCUUCGGGGUGUAAACCGCUUUCGCCUGUGACGAAGCGUGAGUGACGGUAAUGGGUAAAGAAGCACCGGCUAACUACGUG
RNAcentral lists this ribosomal RNA (468 nucleotides) under uncultured bacterium. Its description in RNAcentral is "partial 16S ribosomal RNA". It matches the Rfam family "Bacterial small subunit ribosomal RNA", at positions 28 to 507 of the family's 1533-position model. The record is from RNAcentral.